ACGGGAGGCAGCAGUGGGGAAUAUUGCACAAUGGGCGCAAGCCUGAUGCAGCAACGCCGCGUGAGGGAAGACGGUUUUCGGAUUGUAAACCUCUGUCUUUGGUGACGAAGAAGUGACGGUAGCCAAGGAGGAAGCCACGGCUAACUACGUGCCAGCAGCCGCGGUAAUACGUAGGUGGCAAGCGUUAUCCGGAUUUAUUGGGUUUAAAGGGUGCGCAGGCGGCACGUUAAGUCAGCGGUGAAAUGUCGGGGCUCAACCCGGGCACUGCCGUUGAAACUGGCGAGCUUGAGUACGGAUGAAGUCGGCGGAAUGUGAUGUGUAGCGGUGAAAUGCUUAGAUAUGUCACAGAACACCGAUUGCGAAGGCAGCUGACUAAUCCGCAACUGACGCUCAGGCACGAAAGCGUGGGGAUCGAACAGGAUUAGAUACCCUGGUA
Molecule: ribosomal RNA, 436 nt
Rfam family: Bacterial small subunit ribosomal RNA